UUGACCUCGGAUCACGUAGGGAUACC
Molecule: ribosomal RNA, 26 nt
Filed under: Ectophoma multirostrata
Lineage: Eukaryota; Fungi; Ascomycota; Dothideomycetes; Pleosporales; Didymellaceae
Also listed under: 1 other name
Description: partial 28S ribosomal RNA
Source: RNAcentral